GCCAUGGGCAGGUUGAAGGUUGGGUAACACUAACUGGAGGACCGAACCGACUAAUGUUGAAAAAUUAGCGGAUGACUUGUGGCUGGGGGUGAAAGGCCAAUCAAACCGGGAGAUAGCUGGUUCUCCCCGAAAGCUAUUUAGGUAGCGCCUCGUGAAUUCAUCUCCGGGGGUAGAGCACUGUUUCGGCAAGGGGGUCAUCCCGACUUACCAACCCGAUGCAAACUGCGAAUACCGGAGAAUGUUAUCACGGGAGACACACGGCGGGUGCUAACGUCCGUCGUGAAGAGGGAAACAACCCAGACCGCCAGCUAAGGUCCCAAAGUCAUGGUUAAGUGGGAAACGAUGUGGGAAGGCCCAGACAGCCAGGAUGUUGGCUUAGAAGCAGCCAUCAUUUAAAGAAAGCGUAAUAGCUCACUGGUCGAGUCGGCCUGCGCGGAAGAUGUAACGGGGCUAAACCAUGCAC
Molecule: ribosomal RNA, 463 nt
Filed under: Escherichia coli
Lineage: Bacteria; Pseudomonadati; Pseudomonadota; Gammaproteobacteria; Enterobacterales; Enterobacteriaceae
Description: partial 23S ribosomal RNA
Rfam family: Bacterial large subunit ribosomal RNA
Source: RNAcentral